This 253-nucleotide ribosomal RNA is filed under the name uncultured bacterium. Its description in RNAcentral is "partial 16S ribosomal RNA". It matches the Rfam family "Bacterial small subunit ribosomal RNA", at positions 524 to 776 of the family's 1533-position model. The record is from RNAcentral.
UACGUAGGGUGCAAGCGUUGUCCGGAAUUACUGGGCGUAAAGAGCUCGUAGGUGGUUUGUCGCGUUGUUCGUGAAAACUCACAGCUCAACUGUGGGCGUGCGGGCGAUACGGGCAGACUUGAGUACUGCAGGGGAGACUGGAAUUCCUGGUGUAGCGGUGGAAUGCGCAGAUAUCAGGAGGAACACCGGUGGCGAAGGCGGUUCUCUGGGAAUGUUCUGACGCUGAGGAGCGAAAGUGUGGGGAGCAAACAGG